This 429-nucleotide ribosomal RNA is filed under the name Acidobacteriota bacterium. Its description in RNAcentral is "Acidobacteria bacterium partial 16S ribosomal RNA". It matches the Rfam family "Bacterial small subunit ribosomal RNA", at positions 355 to 776 of the family's 1533-position model. The record is from RNAcentral. Lineage: Bacteria; Pseudomonadati; Acidobacteriota.
UGGGGAAUUUUGGACAAUGGGGGAAACCCUGAUCCAGCCAUCCCGCGUGUGCGAUGAAGGCCUUCGGGUUGUAAAGCACUUUUGGCAGGAAAGAAACGUCAUGGGUUAAUACCCCGUGAAACUGACGGUACCUGCAGAAUAAGCACCGGCUAACUACGUGCCAGCAGCCGCGGUAAUACGUAGGGUGCAAGCGUUAAUCGGAAUUACUGGGCGUAAAGCGUGCGCAGGCGGUUCGGAAAGAAAGAUGUGAAAUCCCAGAGCUCAACUUUGGAACUUCAUUUUUAGCUACCGUGCUUAAGUGUGUCAGAGGGAGGUGGAAUUCCGCGUGUAGCAGUGAAAUGCGUAGAUAUGCGGAGGAACACCGAUGGCGAAGGCAGCCUCCUGGGAUAACACUGACGCUCAUGCACGAAAGCGUGGGGAGCAAACAGG